GGCCCGUUCGUCUAGGGGUUAGGACAUCAGAUUUUCAUUCUGAGAACAGGGGUUCGAUUCCCCUACGGGCUA
This 72-nucleotide transfer RNA is filed under the name Terrimonas ferruginea. RNAcentral describes it as "tRNA-Glu". It matches the Rfam family "tRNA". From Rfam's summary of the family: Transfer RNA (tRNA) molecules are approximately 80 nucleotides in length. Their secondary structure includes four short double-helical elements and three loops (D, anti-codon, and T loops). Further hydrogen bonds mediate the characteristic L-shaped molecular structure. tRNAs have two regions of fundamental functional importance: the anti-codon, which is responsible for specific mRNA codon recognition, and the 3' end, to which the tRNAs corresponding amino acid is attached (by aminoacyl-tRNA synthetases). tRNAs cope with the degeneracy of the genetic code in two manners: having more than one tRNA (with a specific anti-codon) for a particular amino acid; and 'wobble' base-pairing, i.e. permitting non-standard base-pairing at the 3rd anti-codon position. RNAcentral also lists the same sequence under 3 other names. The record is from RNAcentral. Lineage: Bacteria; Pseudomonadati; Bacteroidota; Chitinophagia; Chitinophagales; Chitinophagaceae.